This 507-nucleotide ribosomal RNA is filed under the name uncultured bacterium. Its description in RNAcentral is "partial 16S ribosomal RNA". It matches the Rfam family "Bacterial small subunit ribosomal RNA", at positions 28 to 507 of the family's 1533-position model. The record is from RNAcentral.
GACGAACGCUGGCGGCGUGCCUAAUACAUGCAAGUCGAACGCAUUUUCUUUCACCGUAGCUUGCUACACCGAAAGAAAAUGAGUGGCGAACGGGUGAGUAACACGUUUGUAACCUGCCCAUCAGCGGGGGAUAACACUUGGAAACAGGUGCUAAUACCGCAUAAUUCCAUUUACCGCAUGGUAGAUGGGUGAAAGGCGCUUUUGCGUCACUGAUGGAUGGACCCGCGGUGCAUUAGCUAGGUGGUGGGGUAACGGCCUACCAAGGCUGCGAUGCAUAGCCGACCUGAGAGGGUGAUCGGCCACACUGGGACUGAGACACGGCCCAGACUCCUACGGGAGGCAGCAGGAGGGAAUCUUCGGCAAUGGACGCAAGUCUGACCGAGCAACGCCGCGUGAGUGAAGAAGGGUGUCGGAUCGUAAAACUCUGUUGUUAGAGAAGAACAAGGAUGAGAGUGGAAAGUUCAUCCCUUGACGGUAUCUAAACAGAAAGCCACGGCUAACUACGUG